RNAcentral lists this ribosomal RNA (504 nucleotides) under uncultured bacterium. RNAcentral describes it as "partial 16S ribosomal RNA". It matches the Rfam family "Bacterial small subunit ribosomal RNA", at positions 29 to 523 of the family's 1533-position model. The record is from RNAcentral.
AUUGAACGCUGGCGGCAGGCCUAACACAUGCAAGUCGGACGGUAGCACAGAGGAGCUUGCUCCUCGGGUGACGAGUGGCGGACGGGUGAGUAAUGUCUGGGGAUCUGCCCGAUAGAGGGGGAUAACCACUGGAAACGGUGGCUAAUACCGCAUAACGUCGCAAGACCAGAGGGGGACCUUCGGGCCUCUCACUAUCGGAUGAACCCAGAUGGGAUUAGCUAGUAGGCGCGGUAACGGCCCACCUAGGCGACGAUCCCUAGCUGGUCUGAGAGGAUGACCAGCCACACUGGAACUGAGACACGGUCCAGACUCCUACGGGAGGCAGCAGUGGGGAAUAUUGCACAAUGGGCGCAAGCCUGAUGCAGCCAUGCCGCGUGUAUGAAGAAGGCCUUCGGGUUGUAAAGUACUUUCAGCGGGGAGGAAGGCGAUGUGGUUAAUAACCGCGUCGAUUGACGUUACCCGCAGAAGAAGCACCGGCUAACUCCGUGCCAGCAGCCGCCGUAA